This is a long non-coding RNA of Drosophila pseudoobscura, 1694 nucleotides long. RefSeq lists it as uncharacterized. The record is from RefSeq and is a predicted model, not a curated record. The transcript is spliced from 2 exons. Lineage: Eukaryota; Metazoa; Arthropoda; Insecta; Diptera; Drosophilidae.
AUCCCGCUUCAACCUACUUGGGGCUUGCUUGUCUCUCAGUGUACUCGCUCUGCCUGAGUGAAGAGCCUUCUAUUUGAGCGAAUCCGGGCACUUUAUUCGGGCUCCCGCUGCGCUUAAUUGAAUCAAAAGCGGCGGCUGUCGAUGCCUAGUUUACGGCUUAAUGGAGUUCCUGGCCCAGCCGCGUUGAAUGCCGCUUUGCAUAGCAGUCUGAGGAAAAAUGGAGGCCCAAUUUCAAUGGUCGCCCGUGGAGCAAAGGCAAACGCAAUUGGAAUCGCAAUUAAUAUUCAUUUAAAACGAAUGUACAACUGUACAACUGAAAAAAGGGACGAAAAGGAAAAUUCCGCAGAUGAAUUUUUAAUUUCCAAAGGAAGGAGCCAAAGGAGGAGAAAGAAUGCUGUGGGAAGCCGCCUGUAUGUCGGCCCCUUAUGCCCCUAAUGAUGAUGAAGACGGAUGCGAAUUUCCGUUUUGAGUUUCCGGGUUUGAGUUGAGUUUAUGAUUAAUGCAUGAACAGAAGUCGUAGUACCUAGUGGUCCUUGAUUUUUCCCCCGAUUCGUCUCAAUCAGAACCGAGCUCCGAACGCAGCAGUCGAGUACUGUGGGCGGCGGUUCUUUUAUGGACUAUGGAACUAUUGACUUGAUUGGUCAUGCCCAUGAUUUUCACUGCAAGUAAAAGUUUCCAUGUUUCGCUUUCCGCCGCGAAAUGAAAAUCUCCAGCGAAAAAGUUUUCAUCGGAAAAAACUCAUUUCAUCCUAAUCAUAAUAAUAACUUUGGCUUGGGGGCACUUACAAAAUUUCCACUUGUAAUCUAUGCAGCCGAAGAGUCUGGCCAAAGAAGCCAAAUGGGAAUGGAAAUGGGAAAACAGGUUCGCAUCGGUAUCGGGUAAAAGUCAAUGAUGAUGGCGAUGGGGAUGGCGAUGACGAUGAAUAAGUCGCACAUCUUUCGUGGGAAUCUUGGCAGCAGAAGAGGCAGAUACUGAGACAGCCGCAAUGUUGUCAAAGUGAAUGCCAUGGAAAAUUAGCAAAAAUCAUUGCAAAUCAAAUGGAAAACAUGACAAGCCACAAAGAAACUUUUCCGCCAGCCAGCCAGCCAGUCGAUAGAGUGCCCCCGACCCCACCCGACCCGACCCGAAUCACAGAUUGAAUGCCGUACAUCAAAGUUCAAAAGUGUCAAACGUUGUACACCACUGCCAGCCACCACUGUUGUCCUAUCCUCCCUCCGCAUCCAUCCUCCUCCUACUUCUCCUCGUUGUGGAAGGAACCGAGAAUGGGAACACACUCCAAAACUGGUCGCCGGCUGGCUGUCUGGGGGCUUAAGCCAAUUUAUAGUUUGUAUAGUGCCAGACGACAUCGAUGCCACUGGCUUGGCUUGGACGCUUUUAAAGUUUGCCUCUGCCUGAGCUUCUCCUGGUUCUCCAUCAGGGUCGUGAGGUGAGGUGCGGGAGGGGGCUCUGGUGGCAGCCUGGACUAUCAGCGUGGACAAACAUGGCAUGAAGCAGGCAGUCGUGCACAGAAGAGGCCAGAGGAGAUUGAAAUGGGAUAAGGCGAUGGAAAAAGGUUCAAGGUACACAAAAAACAUCCGGAACAAUUUAUAUAGAUAAAUGAAUUCUCAAACAAUAACAUUUGAGUGUGGAAAAAUUGAAUUUUACCAAGAAAAAGGGAAACUAAAUAUAAAGGAAAGUUUUCCAUCGCAAAUACA